UUUCUAUUGGUCACGGCAGGCCCUGUCAAACUGCUGUGCAAUUGGCGUCUUGUGAAAAAGCCCAGCUCUCCCACACUUUGAUUCGGCUUUUGACUCGGGCCCAGUUUCAGUGUUGGCAAGCCUACUCUCGCCAACAGUGAUCAGGGAUCCGCUGAAUCCCCCAGGGCCUUGCUGCAAGACCUGCUGCGACAACCGCCGGCACUCCCAGGGAGGGAGGUCCUCCGAGCGCUCUGCUGCCUGGCGGAAUGGGAGUGUGACCACAGUUACCACAACAGCUGUGUCCGUGAAACUCCCCUGCC
Molecule: long non-coding RNA, 299 nt
Filed under: Lepisosteus oculatus (spotted gar)
Lineage: Eukaryota; Metazoa; Chordata; Actinopteri; Semionotiformes; Lepisosteidae
Description: lncRNA (ENSLOCG00000023148.1)
Source: RNAcentral